UACGUAGGGUGCGAGCGUUGUCCGGAAUUAUUGGGCGUAAAGAGCUCGUAGGCGGUUUGUCGCGUCGGCCGUGAAAACUUGGGGCUUAACCCCAAGCUUGCGGUCGAUACGGGCAGACUUGAGUUCGGCAGGGGAGACUGGAAUUCCUGGUGUAGCGGUGAAAUGCGCAGAUAUCAGGAGGAACACCGGUGGCGAAGGCGGAUCUCUGGGCCUUACCUGACGCUCAGGCGCGAAAGCUAGGGGAGCGAACAGG
Molecule: ribosomal RNA, 253 nt
Filed under: uncultured bacterium
Lineage: Bacteria
Description: partial 16S ribosomal RNA
Rfam family: Bacterial small subunit ribosomal RNA
Source: RNAcentral